RNAcentral lists this ribosomal RNA (449 nucleotides) under uncultured bacterium. RNAcentral's name for it is "partial 16S ribosomal RNA". It matches the Rfam family "Bacterial small subunit ribosomal RNA", at positions 29 to 523 of the family's 1533-position model. The record is from RNAcentral.
AGCGAACGCUGGCGGCAGGCCUAACACAUGCAAGCCGAACGGAUCCUUCGGGAUUAGUGGCGGACGGGUGAGUAACACGUGGGAACGUGCCCUUUGGUUCGGAACAACUCAGGGAAACUUGAGCUAAUACCGGAUGUGCCCUUCGGGGGAAAGAUUUAUCGCCAUUGGAGCGGCCCGCGUCUGAUUAGCUAGUUGGUGGGGUAAAGGCCCACCAAGGCGACGGUCAGUAGCUGGUCUGAGAGGAUGAUCAGCCACAUUGGGACUGAGACACGGCCCAAACUCCUACGGGAGGCAGCAGUGGGGAAUCUUGCGCAAUGGGCGAGAGCCUGACGCAGCCAUGCCGCGUGAAUGAUGAAGGUCUUAGGAUUGUAAAAUUCUUUCACCGGGGACGAUAAUGACGGUACCCGGAGAAGAAGCCCCGGCUAACUUCGUGCCAGCAGCCGCCGUAA